This 831-nucleotide ribosomal RNA is filed under the name Triticum aestivum (bread wheat). Its description in RNAcentral is "partial small subunit ribosomal RNA". Lineage: Eukaryota; Viridiplantae; Streptophyta; Magnoliopsida; Poales; Poaceae. The record is from RNAcentral.
AUGUUUUCCUCUCAAUCUUUGAGUCGUGUCAACAAUAUCCGUACUGCCCUGAUCAAUGCACAGAAGGGAAACCAAUCGGUUGUUGCGUACUACGCUCAUAUGCGUGGUCUUGCCGAUGAACUCGCGGCGGCAGGCAAGCCUAUCCAAGACGAUGAGCUCAUCUCCUACCUGUUACACGGGCUGGACAUGGACUACCAGCCCCUUCUCUCCGCCCUCGACGCCCGCGUCACUCCGGUCUCCCUCGACGAGUUGUAUGCCAUGCUGAGCAAUUUUGAUCAGCGCGUGGCCCAGUUUCACAGCACCGGAGGCGGCUUCAAGUCCUCGGCCAACACGGCGACUCGCGGGUGCGGCGGGUACUCUUCCCGUCCUCGCAGUCCUCCUCGACACAAGGGCAAGCAGGGCGGUGGCGGCUCCAGCAACUCCGGCUCACGUGGCGGACGCCCCAACUUCACCAACAACAGGGGCCGUCGCGGCGGGGGCGGUAGCAACGGCGGCUCAGGCAGAGCUCGACCUGAUGCCGUGUGUUGCCAGAUCUGCGGCAAGCCUGGCCACUCCGCCAAGGACUGCUGGUAUCGAUUUGAUGAAGAUGAAGCCUCCUCUGAUGAAGAUGAUAAGGUUGUUGCCGCCGCCGAUGGGUCAUACGGUGUCGAUACCAAUUGGUAUCUUGACAGUGGCGCCACCAACCAUCUCACAGGGGAACUUGAGAAGGUGACCCUUCAUGAGAAAUACCAUGGAAAGGAUCAAAUCCACACAGCAAGUGGUGCAGGUAUGAAAAUAAGUCACAUAGGUCAUUUGGUUAUACGUACCCCUUCUCGCAAGAUUCAUCUUUGA